This 460-nucleotide ribosomal RNA is filed under the name uncultured bacterium. RNAcentral describes it as "partial 16S ribosomal RNA". It matches the Rfam family "Bacterial small subunit ribosomal RNA", at positions 338 to 795 of the family's 1533-position model. The record is from RNAcentral.
CCUACGGGAGACAGCAGUGAGGAAUAUUGGUCAAUGGCCGGAAGGCUGAACCAGCCAUGCCGCGUGAAGGUCAGUGCCCUAUGGGCGUUAAACUUCUUUUGUGCGGGAGCAAUAAUGGUCACGUGUGGCCAGACGAGAGUACCGUACGAAUAAGCAUCGGCUAACUCCGUGCCAGCAGCCGCGGUAAUACGGGGGAUGCAAGCGUUAUCCGGAUUUAUUGGGGUUAAAGGGUGCGUAGGCUGUGAGGUAAGUCAGCGGUGAAAUGCCCCCGCUCAACGGGGUGAAGUGCCAUUGAUACUGGCUUGCUGGAAUGCGGAUGCCGUGGGAGGAAUGUGUGGUGUAGCGGUGAAAUGCAUAGAUAUCACACAGAACACCGAUUGCGAAGGCAUCUCACGAAUCCGCGAUUGACGCUGAUGCACGAAAGCGUGGGUAUCAAACAGGAUUAGAUACCCGAGUAGUC